This 414-nucleotide ribosomal RNA is filed under the name Triticum aestivum (bread wheat). RNAcentral describes it as "partial small subunit ribosomal RNA". Lineage: Eukaryota; Viridiplantae; Streptophyta; Magnoliopsida; Poales; Poaceae. The record is from RNAcentral.
AUGCAUGAAACGGUUUACAUCGUGCAAGGCUCGUGUUGCACGGCCGCCUACAGAACGGCCACCAUGCAUGCAUUGGCAGAGUGUGCACAUUCAGGGGAUACGCAGAGAAGCAUGCUGAAACUGUGGAGAAAACAUCAUGUUGAAGGGAGACACCAAUAUGGUAACCAUCUUUCAUCUUCUUUGAUCUCGGGUCACCAGUUUGGCGAAUUCGUUGGAAGCAAGAUUUUUUUGCUGGAUGCUUUGCAUGGGAUCAUGCCGCUGAAAUCUAUCCUUGCAAAUAGACACACAUCGGUACUGAAGGUCACUGCCCAAUCUGUAACUUGGGCGUUGAGGAUGUUAAACACUUGCUUUUUGAGUGUACGCCUGCAGUGGAAUUAUGGAAAUUGCAUGUUCAUACCAUCAUCUUUGAUGUGA